AUUCCAGCUCCAAUAGCGUAUAUUAAAGUUGUUGCCGUUAAAAAGCUCGUAGUCGAACUUCGGGUCCUGUCCGCCGGUCCGCCUUCUUGGUGUGUACUUGUUGGAUGGGACCUUACCUCCUGGUGAACAGCGAUGUCCUUUACUGGGUGUCGUUGCAAACCAGGACGUUUACUUUGAAAAAAUUAGAGUGUUCAAAGCAGGCCUUUGCCCGAAUACAUUAGCAUGGAAUAAUAGAAUAGGACGCGCGUUCCCAUUUUGUUGGUUUCUGAGAUCGCCGUAAUGAUUAAUAGGGAUAGUUGGGGGCAUUUGUAUUCCGACGUCAGAGGUGAAAUUCUUGGAUUGCCGGAAGACAAACUACUGCGAAAGCAUUUGCCAAGGAUGUUUUCAUCA
RNAcentral lists this ribosomal RNA (390 nucleotides) under Rhodotorula sp. Its description in RNAcentral is "partial small subunit ribosomal RNA". It matches the Rfam family "Eukaryotic small subunit ribosomal RNA", at positions 582 to 975 of the family's 1831-position model. The record is from RNAcentral. Lineage: Eukaryota; Fungi; Basidiomycota; Microbotryomycetes; Sporidiobolales; Sporidiobolaceae.